CAGGUGCUGCAUGGCCGUCGUCAGCUCGUGCCGUGAGGUGUUGGGUUUAAGUCCCGCAACGAGCGCAACCCCCGCCGUUAGUUGCCAGCGGUUCGCCGGGCACUCUAACGGGACUGCCCGCGAAAAGCGGGAGGAAGGAGGGGACGACGUCUGGUCAGCAUGGCCCUUACGGCCUGGGCGACACACGUGCUACAAUGCCCACUACAAAGCGAUGCCACCCGGCAACGGGGAGCUAAUCGCAAAAAGGUGGGCCCAGUUCGGAUUGGGGUCUGCAACCCGACCCCAUGAAGCCGGAAUCGCUAGUAAUCGCGGAUCAGCCAUGCCGCGGUGAAUACGUUCCCGGGCCUU
Molecule: ribosomal RNA, 348 nt
Filed under: uncultured Thermus sp.
Lineage: Bacteria; Thermotogati; Deinococcota; Deinococci; Thermales; Thermaceae
Description: bacterial SSU rRNA
Rfam family: Bacterial small subunit ribosomal RNA
Source: RNAcentral